GAUGAACGCUGGCGGCGUGCCUAAUACAUGCCGGUCGAGCGAACAGACGAGGAGCUUGCUCCUCUGACGUUAGCGGCGGACGGGUGAGUAACACGUGGAUAACCUACCUAUAAGACUGGGAUAACUUCGGGAAACCGGAGCUAAUACCGGAUAAUAUAUUGAACCGCAUGGUUCAAUAGUGAAAGACGGUUUUGCUGUCACUUAUAGAUGGAUCCGCGCCGCAUUAGCUAGUUGGUAAGGUAACGGCUUACCAAGGCAACGAUGCGUAGCCGACCUGAGAGGGUGAUCGGCCACACUGGAACUGAGACACGGUCCAGACUCCUACGGGAGGCAGCAGUAGGGAAUCUUCCGCAAUGGGCGAAAGCCUGACGGAGCAACGCCGCGUGAGUGAUGAAGGUCUUCGGAUCGUAAAACUCUGUUAUUAGGGAAGAACAAAUGUGUAAGUAACUAUGCACGUCUUGACGGUACCUAAUCAGAAAGCCACGGCUAACUACGU
RNAcentral lists this ribosomal RNA (496 nucleotides) under uncultured bacterium. RNAcentral describes it as "partial 16S ribosomal RNA". It matches the Rfam family "Bacterial small subunit ribosomal RNA", at positions 28 to 506 of the family's 1533-position model. The record is from RNAcentral.